CCUACGGGUGGCAGCAGUGAGGAAUAUUGGUCAAUGGGCGAGAGCCUGAACCAGCCAAGUCGCGUGAGGGAGUACUGCCCUAUGGGUUGUAAACCUCUUUUGUCGGGGAGCAAAAGCCGGACGUGUCCGGCUGUGAGAGUACCCGAAGAAAAAGCAUCGGCUAACUCCGUGCCAGCAGCCGCGGUAAUACGGGGGAUGCGAGGGUUAUCCGGAUUUAUUGGGUUUAAAGGGGGCGCACGCGGAUUUUUAAGUCAGCGGUAAAAUCGUGGGGCUCAACCCCAUCCAGCCGUUGAAACUGGGGAUCUAGAGUGUGCGAGAGGUAUGCGGAAUGCGUGGUGUAGCGGUGAAAUGCAUAGAUAUCACGCAGAACCCCGAUUGCGAAGGCAGCAUACCGGUGCACAACUGACGCUCAGGCACGAAAGCGUGGGUAUCGAACAGGAUUAGAUACCCCGGUAGUC
RNAcentral lists this ribosomal RNA (458 nucleotides) under uncultured bacterium. RNAcentral describes it as "partial 16S ribosomal RNA". It matches the Rfam family "Bacterial small subunit ribosomal RNA", at positions 338 to 795 of the family's 1533-position model. The record is from RNAcentral.